CGAAUGGGUCCAAAGACUCUUAAAACCUACCGCGCUCCCCUACGUGGAAAACAGGAAAGCCCUCCGGGGCAUAGGAAAUCUGAAAAGUUGAAGAACUGCGCCCCGGCGCAUGACUAAACAAAAAAAUUA
RNAcentral lists this unclassified non-coding RNA (129 nucleotides) under soil metagenome. Its description in RNAcentral is "partial internal transcribed spacer 1". The record is from RNAcentral.